Molecule: long non-coding RNA, 2366 nt
Organism: Calidris pygmaea (Spoon-billed sandpiper)
Lineage: Eukaryota; Metazoa; Chordata; Aves; Charadriiformes; Scolopacidae
Source: Ensembl
GACAGCAGGGGUGGGCAGAGGAACCCUCCCGUCCCACACCACCACCACCACCCUGCCCCACGCCACCACCAGCUGCCUGGUGAGCCCCUGCCAUGGGGAGAUGCCAGCCGCCAUGCCCCAGGCAGAGCUCCUGGGGGGCGAGAGGGUGAGCAGCCGGACCUUCCUGACCCUUGGUGGAUGGGAGGGAGCCCGUCCUGCCCGCAUCAGCCCUCAGGCCAGCAAGGAGGUGGCAGACAGGAGCCACCUUUGGAGCAAGACGUCUCUGCAAGAAACCUCAAAGUCCCCUGCGUCAACGUCAAUACAGAGAAUAAAGCAGAAAACAGGGUGGAAGAGGAAAUUUCAGCCGUGCUUCCUGAAAUGUCUUCAGUAGAGGUUCAAGUGUCUGGGAGCAGCAGCCGGCAGACGUGGGGACAGGAACACCAGCGCGGCAGCCAACACCUCGUGGGGCCAGAACCAGCAGGUGACAACCCAGAGCCGGGGGCGCAAGAGGCCCAGGGGAGCGGGGGCUCGCAGGGUAGGGUGGGUGGCGCGGCUCAGCAUCCCGGCAGCCUUUCCCAACGGCGGGACUCCUGCCACAGCUGGCAGCGGGUCUCCAACGGGGGCAGCUGGCAGUCCCUGGGGAUGGAGCCCUGCCCGGGGGACCAGCCCUGGCAGAGCGGCUGGCAGCCGCAGCGCCGGGACUCCCAGCUCAGCGCGGACUCCAGGGAGAGAGCCGAGCAAGCCCGGGGCACCGCCUACAGCCCUGAGGAGGGGGCCGUCUGGAUCAGCCGAAGGACCACCAGGACAGUGACCAACAGGAGCCAGCAGACGAGCCGAGUGUGGAGCCAGAAGGCGGAAAACCCGAGGUCCCCCGCUCAGAAAUCUGCCAUCAGCAUCGGCGCAGAGACCAGGUCGGUGAAAGGGGUGGGAAAGGAAAUCUCAGAUACCUGCCCCGAAACGAGGAGCCAGACAGCAAGGCAGGGGUCACGGCGCGGCAGCCAGCUGGCACCAGGGCAGGGAUCGUGGUGCGGCAGCGAGAAGGUGCCGGGGUGGGAUUCUCGGCGCGGCAGCCAGCAGGUACCGGUGCAGGAGUCGCGGUGUGUCAGCGAGGAGGGGCCGGGGUGGGAUGCCCUGCCUGGCAGCCAGCAGCUCCCGGCGUCGCGGCGUGGCAGCCAGCAGGUAUCAGGGCAGGACUCGUGGUGGAGCAGCCAGCACUCGUUGGGGAGGGACUCGUGGUGGGGCAGCCAGCAGACAUUUGGGCAGGAGUCACGGCACAGCGGCCAGAAGGUACCACCAGAGCAGCAGUUUCAGCCCCAGCAGCCUGGAGAAAAGAAACUGGAGCUAUCUGAGAAACCCUCUGACGGUGGCCUGCUGCUGGUGCUCCAGCUGCAGUGCAACAACCUCCAGGGGAUAGAGGUUUUGGUGGAGGAGCAUGCGGCUAAACCUUGGAGGAAGAGAAGUCAGGAAAGAGUCGAAGGCGGCACCUUGCAGCUGUCCCAGGGCUCCACGGCUGAGCAAGGGGAAGCAUGGCAGACCUUCAACCUCUUCUCUCAAGAAGGAGGGACCUGGACGGGCAGAACAGGGAGAAUUCUGAUCAGCUGUGAUGAGGAAACUGGUAACACUGUGAUCCAGAGUAUCCACGAAACAUCUCAGCACCCACCGGGACAGCCAUCCCAAAGCAAAGGGGCCACCAGCGUCCCCGAGGAGAGCGGUGGAGCAGACACAGAAAAGCUGAAGGUGGUGGGACGAGGGUCCUGGCACAGUGGUGGGACAGACAGAGGUGGGGAAGCUGCCUCAGAGCUCCCAGCUGCCUCCCAAAGCCCUGGGGGUCUACUGAGCAUGGCCGUAAACAUGGAAAUGGUUCACGAGGCUCAGCAGACCCACAGUGUUAUUACUCUGGAUGAAGGACUCUGGGUCAGGAGGCGAACGGGCAAAUUGCUGCGGGAGAAAAGCCAGCAGACCAGCAUCACUGCUCUGCGGAAGAGCAACAGCGCGGUGCAGGAACAGAGGGGACGGGGGGGCAGCAGCUUGGGGCAGCGGGAGGGGGGCGAACCCCAGAACCACCCACCAGAGCUGGAGGUGCCAGAACCUCCUCGGCGAACCUCCUCGCGCAGCAGCCAACUGUCUGGGCCACAGCUGAUGGGGACGGCCGGAGGAACUCCAGUGUGAUCCCUGGCUGUGACGGGCAGCCAGGGUCUGGGUUGCAGAGGCUUGAAGAGGAACCGGGCAACGAAAAUCUGUGGGGGCAUGAGGUACUGAAACCAUCAUCUGGGACAGGACAGGAAAAGUGAAGAAAAACAAAGACCAAAAAUCACAGCAAAGGAAAAAUUGAGCUGCAAGGUGUCAAAAGGAAUAAACCCACAUAAAGCAGAAAAAAAUAAUUAAAA